UACGAGGGGGGCAAGCGUUGUUCGGAAUUAUUGGGCGUAAAGGGCGCGUAGGCGGUCGGGUAAGUCUGGUGUGAAAUCUCACAGCUUAACUGUGAAACUGCAUUGGAUACUAUCCGGCUAGAGGAAUGGAGGGGAGACUGGAAUACUUGGUGUAGCAGUGAAAUGCGUAGAUAUCAAGUGGAACACCAGUGGCGAAGGCGAGUCUCUGGACAUUUCCUGACGCUGAGGCACGAAAGCCAGGGGAGCAAACGGG
RNAcentral lists this ribosomal RNA (253 nucleotides) under uncultured bacterium. RNAcentral's name for it is "partial 16S ribosomal RNA". It matches the Rfam family "Bacterial small subunit ribosomal RNA", at positions 524 to 776 of the family's 1533-position model. The record is from RNAcentral.